Molecule: ribosomal RNA, 434 nt
Filed under: uncultured bacterium
Lineage: Bacteria
Description: partial 16S ribosomal RNA
Rfam family: Bacterial small subunit ribosomal RNA
Source: RNAcentral
GCGCACGCUGGCGGCAGGCUUCACACAUGCCAGUCGAGCGGGCACUUUCGGGUGUCAGCGGCGGACGGGUGAGUAACGCGUGGGAACGUGCCCUCUGGUUCGGAAUAACUCAGGGAAACUUGAGCUAAUACCGGAUACGCCCUUUUGGGGAAAGGCUUGCUGCCGGAGGAUCGGCCCGCGUCUGAUUAGCUAGUUGGUGAGGUAACGGCUCACCAAGGCGACGAUCAGUAGCUGGUCUGAGAGGAUGAUCAGCCACACUGGGACUGAGACACGGCCCAGACUCCUACGGGAGGCAGCAGUGGGGAGUAUUGGACAAUGGGCGCAAGCCUGAUCCAGCCAUGCCGCGUGAGUGAUGAAGGCCUUAGGGUUGUAAAGCUCUUUUAUCCGGGACGAUAAUGACGGUACCGGAGGAAUAAGCCCCGGCUAACUUCGUG